This 74-nucleotide transfer RNA is filed under the name Mycoplasma sp. Its description in RNAcentral is "tRNA-Trp". It matches the Rfam family "tRNA". From Rfam's summary of the family: Transfer RNA (tRNA) molecules are approximately 80 nucleotides in length. Their secondary structure includes four short double-helical elements and three loops (D, anti-codon, and T loops). RNAcentral also lists the same sequence under 1 other name. Lineage: Bacteria; Bacillati; Mycoplasmatota; Mollicutes; Mycoplasmatales; Mycoplasmataceae. The record is from RNAcentral.
AGAGGUUUAGUAUAAUGGUAGUACUGCAGAUUCCAAACCUGCUUGUAGGGGUUCGAUUCCUCUAACCUCUGCCA